Long non-coding RNA from Conger conger (European conger), 2035 nucleotides. RefSeq lists it as uncharacterized. The record is from RefSeq and is a predicted model, not a curated record. The transcript is spliced from 4 exons. NCBI's taxonomy places the organism in Eukaryota, Metazoa, Chordata, Actinopteri, Anguilliformes, Congridae.
GACUGCAGUCUCUGAAGAUGAAGUGACCUACAGCACAGUGUUCACCAACACACAGUCAUCAUCACACAGAAUAAGUCCACAUCAGUCACAGCCGUCUGAAAACCCUGCAGAUGAGGUCCUGUACAGCUCAAUCAUCCUGAAAAAUCUACAGACCACACACUCGUCUCACCGUUCUGCAGCAGAUAGAGCCGGUGAUGUGAUUUACAGCUCAGUUGCCGGGCAGAAAACACAGUAGAGGGCAGCAACGUGACGAAAGACGACGUCCCAAGUGGAAUUUUGUCCACAAGCUCAAAGGAAGAGGCCUGGGUGUUCUGGAACCUGAGGAUUCAUAUUUCAGAGCAUCAAAUACAGCCAGUCACCCCAUUACAAAUAUUUGACUCUGCUUUUCCCUGCUGGACAAAAAAAGACACCAUCAUUUUCCUAACUUGAAAAGGAACCAUCGCCCUCUGCUGGACAGAUUAGAACGAUCACAACGAUCACACUUUUUCCCCAGAGCAUUCCAAACACAAUUUCCCAGGAGCGCUAACAAAUGACAAUUACAAUUGCACAUUACCUAUAGACUUUCACAUUAUAUAUAUAUAUAUAUUAUCCAUCCAUCCAUCCAUUAUCUGAACCCGCUUAUCCUGAUCAGGGUCGCAGGGGGGCUGGAGCCUAUCCCAGCAUACAUUGGGCGAAAAGCAGGAAUACACCCUGGACAGGUCGCCAGUCUAUCUCAGGGCAUAUAUAUAUUAUAUAUAUAUGAUUUCAAAUAACAAUAAUACUGCCACUGAAUAACAAUUUUAUGAUGUAACUGUAUUAAUUAUUUCAGUUUACAGUAUAAUAGAGGGGUGGCCAAUUCUGGUCCUGGUGGGCCAAGGUGUAUGCAGGUUUUUGUUUCCACCAAUUACCCUGGCUAAAUGAACUAAUUUGCUCAAUGCACCAACACUGGUUCUCUCAAAGAUUAGGUCACAGUAAAACGGGGGACACAAGACCAGUCAUCAGAAAAUGUACUGCAGCUAAAAUUUCCGAUUUCGUAAAAGGUUAAUUAUGUAAUUAAGGCCAGAAGUUGGUAUGAAAUCCAGAAAUGGAUAUGCUGCUCUUUUCCCACCUCUGGAAUACAUAAAUAUUAAAUUAUAAUGAUAGUUACCCUGCUCUGGCCACUGAGAGAGCACACACUACAGAAUACGAGGGACCAAAGAGGUGGGGACUGAGAGGAACAGGAAGUGAGACUCACGCUAAAGGGAGCUGGAGUCUCUAACAGACACACAUACCCAUCAGGCACAUAUGGCUCUCACUCUGAUACUCUUCCUCUCCAUCCUCUUCCUCACUGUGCUGCCAGGUAGGACUCGUUUCUCACACUGUAGAGACUCUGGAGCAUUGUAGCAGAGAGACCGUCUGUGCCUUAAACUUGAAUGAAUGAGUUAAACUGAAGAUUGUAGUUUGCAUCUUACAUAAUAGGACUAAUGUGAUUAGAAUACACUCAGUGAGCACUUUAUUAGGUAGACCUGUACACCAGCUUUUAAUGCAAAUAUUAAAUUUGCCAAUCUCAUGUGGCAGCAACUAGAUGCAUCUGUUGUCAAGGUUCAGCUGUUUCUCAAAGAAAAUGUCAGAAUGAAGAAGAAAUGUUGGUGCCAGAGAGUGGCUUGAGUAUUUCCUGGGUUUUUCAUGCACAACAGUGUCGAGUUUUCAGAGAAUGGUGCAAAAAGCAAAGAAUAUCCUGUGAGCAGUGUAAAAAUACACCUUUUAAAACUGUACCUUAGUCUUCCCUCCUGAUCCCCCCCCCCACACUUUCCGAUAUCCGUCUUGUUUAACCCCCCAAAAAAAGAAGAAAAUUGCACUUACGAUGACAAUUUUUUGUUCAGAACAGCACUUCAUGUGUAUUUUACUAGUUAUGGAUGUGAUGCUUUAACUUGUGGAAGAACCUAUGCACUUGUACGUCGCUUUGGAUUGAAAGUGUCUGCCAUAUGACAAAAAUGUAAAAUGUAAAUGUAAAAAUGGACAUGUCGCCCGUCCAUCGCAGGGCAAGAAUAGAACUAAUAAACGCAAAUUGACCAUG